Molecule: small nucleolar RNA, 147 nt
Filed under: Mustela putorius furo (domestic ferret)
Lineage: Eukaryota; Metazoa; Chordata; Mammalia; Carnivora; Mustelidae
Description: Small nucleolar RNA U3
Rfam family: Small nucleolar RNA U3
About the family: Small nucleolar RNAs (snoRNAs) are involved in the processing and modification of rRNA in the nucleolus. There are two main classes of snoRNAs: the box C/D class, and the box H/ACA class.
Source: Rfam by way of RNAcentral
AAGACCAUAAUUUCAAGUCAUUUCUAUAGUUUGUUACUAGACAAGUUUCUCUGAAUGUGUAGAGUACCCAAAACCUUGAGGAGGAGGCAGGAAAAGAAGUCUCUUCCAGACCCUGCUUUCAAUUCUUCUGAGUGUAUAUCCAGAGGU